GGAUUCCCUGAGUAACGGCGAGCGAAAAGGGAUGAGCCCAGCGCCGAAUCCCCGCCUUCCGGGCGAGGGAAAUGUGGCGUUUAGGAGUGAGCGUGCCGGGUGCGGACGAGGCGGCAAGUCCCCCUGACCGGGGCUUGUCCGAAGCGGGUGCGAGGCCCAUAGCCGCCCCUUCCGCUCCGGAUGCGAUCUCCUUGGAGUCGGGUUGCUUGGGAGUGCAGCCCUAAUCGGGUGGUAAACUCCACCUAAGGCUAAAUACCGCCGUGAGACCGAUAGCAAACAAGUACCGUGAGGGAAAGUUGCAAAGAACUUUGAAGAGAGAGUUCAAGAGUACGUGAAACUGCUCAGAGGUAAACGGGUGGGCCCUCGAAUUCCUGUGGCGAGAGGAUUCAGUCUGGCUCUUCUCGACCUGCGCCGGGAGUGUGCACCGAGACAGGUGUCGCCCGGUGCGGCGCAUUCGGGAAGUUUCCGACGCAUUUGACUCUCGCCCUGAGGACGCUGCAGCCGGUCUGGCAGCGCAAGCGUGACGGCCUGAAGGUCGGGUAAUGGCAGGUGGCCGGUGGCUUUCCUCGUGAGGGCUAUCGGUUGUUAGCCGUCCCGUCAGUGGCACGUCGCCAGACCGUGGUGUCGCGAGUCCCUUAACCGGGACUCCUCGUCUCCACCCCUUAAGCGAGUCGCGGGACAGACGGCGUCAAGGGCGUCCCUUUCCGACCGCCGCACUCUUUCAGGAGCUGGGCGAGACGGACUGAGGAGCCCCGAUGGGCGCUGCGGACCCGUCUGGGGACUGGAGGCUGGCAGCGAAGUAGGUCGGUCACCCACCCGACCCGUCUUGAAACACGGACCAAGGAGUCUAACAUGUGCGCGAGUCAGUGGGUCUUGAAUAGGCCCACGGGCGCAAUGAAAGCGAAGGUCGUCGUUUGUCGACCGAGUCGGGAUCCUCCCUUURAYCGGGGAGGCGCACCGACGACACGUCCUAUCCGCCUCGGCGGUUGGGCGUAGUCUGAGCGUACACGUUGGGACCCGAAAGAUGGUGAACUAUGCCCGGACAGGAUGAGGCCAGAGGAAACUCUGGUGGAGGUCCGCAGCGGUUCUGACG
This 1093-nucleotide ribosomal RNA is filed under the name Hentzia grenada. RNAcentral describes it as "partial large subunit ribosomal RNA". Lineage: Eukaryota; Metazoa; Arthropoda; Arachnida; Araneae; Salticidae. The record is from RNAcentral.